UGGGGAAUAUUGCACAAUGGGCGGAAGCCUGAUGCAGCGACGCCGCGUGGGGGAUGAAGGCCUUCGGGUUGUAAACUCCUUUCGACAGGGACGAAGCUUUUGUGACGGUACCUGUAUAAGAAGCACCGGCUAACUACGUGCCAGCAGCCGCGGUAAUACGUAGGGUGCGAGCGUUGUCCGGAAUUACUGGGCGUAAAGAGCUCGUAGGUGGUUUGUCGCGUCGUCUGUGAAAUUCCGGGGCUUAACUCGGGGCGUGCAGGCGAUACGGGCUGACUUGAGUGCUGUAGGGGAGACUGGAAUUCCUGGUGUAGCGGUGAAAUGCGCAGAUAUCAGGAGGAACACCGAUGGCGAAGGCAGGUCUCUGGGCAGUAACUGACGCUGAGGAGCGAAAGCAUGGGUAGCGAACAGG
RNAcentral lists this ribosomal RNA (409 nucleotides) under Actinomycetes bacterium. Its description in RNAcentral is "Actinobacteria bacterium partial 16S ribosomal RNA". It matches the Rfam family "Bacterial small subunit ribosomal RNA", at positions 355 to 776 of the family's 1533-position model. Lineage: Bacteria; Bacillati; Actinomycetota; Actinomycetes. The record is from RNAcentral.